Molecule: long non-coding RNA, 722 nt
Filed under: Helianthus annuus (common sunflower)
Lineage: Eukaryota; Viridiplantae; Streptophyta; Magnoliopsida; Asterales; Asteraceae
Description: sRNA HanXRQr2_Chr17g0810231
Source: RNAcentral
UGUUUUGUUUAGGGUUUUUAACCCACAAGUGAUGUUCAAGAUUCAAGCUUGAUGAAGGUGUGAUUAUGGACUAACUUGGGUUGUCCAACAUAGAAUCCCCACAUUACUUGAUGAUUUCUCUUUGUAUAGUUGUUUCUUAUUCUUGUAUUGUUAUUAGUUCAUGACCCUCCUUGUAUGUUUUUACAUCAAGUGUAGUGGUGAACCAUAAGAGGUACCUAAGUGGAAGCUUGUCCUUCCUACCUCCUACAUGACUUCUAUGACACAUUUUGAGGUACCUAAAUGAAGAUGUAAUCUUCUACCUCAUGCUUGAAAUACUUGAAAAAUCUGGACUUAAUAAUAUAAACUAUACAACCUAAAUAAUAUCUAUGCACAUUCGAACCUUUGAUGUUGAACUCAUGUUCAUUUGUCAAAAUAGUAGGACAUCAUCUAAGACCUAAACCUUGUUAUGAUUCUUAUGAGUGCUAAACUCAUGAAAACAUUAUUAUAACCCUUGUGGUUACCAAGUGUCAUACAAGUGUUAUGUGUUGAAGAUGAUUAUUUCACAUGUUAUUCUCAUAUGUUAUUUUCGUUGUUUUAUUCCGAAUCUCGACUCUAAGCAUACUUGAACUUUAACCCUUAUACUUUCGGACAUUAAAUCUCUACUCGUCAACGAUUGGAUAAUCGGAAAGCCUAUGCAAUAUUGUUGAGGACGAUGAUGCUAUGAAAUGAAGUAGCGUUGAUGC